Molecule: long non-coding RNA, 361 nt
Filed under: Prunus persica (peach)
Lineage: Eukaryota; Viridiplantae; Streptophyta; Magnoliopsida; Rosales; Rosaceae
Description: long non-coding RNA (PPER_LNC000506)
Source: RNAcentral
UCACAGUUUUCCUUCAUUUUCUCAAAAGUAUUUAUCUAAAAGCAUUACCAAAAGUAUUUAUCUAAAAUCUCAAAUACAAAUUCAAAUAGGAAAUAAAGCAUUACCGAAAGUAUUUAUCAAAGUCUCAAAAUUGGUUUAUAAUUUCACCCAAAAAAAAAAAAAAAAAAAACACGAACACAGGUUCAAUUUGAGAAACAGUAGAAUCAAGUUCGAUUUCACCAAAUUCGUCCAACCUUAACCAAUCAUGCACUGUUCGAUUACCUAAAAACAUAAAAAAUCAUAACACUUUCCUACAUUUUCUCAAGAAGCAAACAGAAAAAACAAAUCAUUACCGCAAAUUUUAAUCUAAAUCUCAAAAUCG